Non-coding RNA from Trichonephila clavata, 73 nucleotides. Lineage: Eukaryota; Metazoa; Arthropoda; Arachnida; Araneae; Nephilidae. The record is from the annotation of a GenBank genome assembly.
GUCCCUGUAGCACAAGGUGUAGCACGUUAGACUUUUAAUCCAAAAUUCGUGGAUUCGAAUUCCACCUGGGAUG